This 870-nucleotide ribosomal RNA is filed under the name Psathyrella sp. RNAcentral's name for it is "partial large subunit ribosomal RNA". The record is from RNAcentral. Lineage: Eukaryota; Fungi; Basidiomycota; Agaricomycetes; Agaricales; Psathyrellaceae.
GGAUUCCCCUAGUAACUGCGAGUGAAGCGGGAAAAGCUCAAAUUUAAAAUCUGGUGGUCUCUGGCCAUCCGAGUUGUAAUCUAGAGAAGUGUUACCCGCGUCGGACCGUGUAUAAGUCUCCUGGAAUGGAGCGUCAUAGAGGGUGAGAAUCCCGUCUUUGACACGGACUACCGAGGCUUUGUGGUAUGCUCUCAAAGAGUCGAGUUGUUUGGGAAUGCAGCUCAAAAUGGGUGGUAAAUUCCAUCUAAAGCUAAAUAUUGGCGAGAGACCGAUAGCGAACAAGUACCGUGAGGGAAAGAUGAAAAGAACUUUGGAAAGAGAGUUAAACAGUACGUGAAAUUGCUGAAAGGGAAACGCUUGAAGUCAGUCGCGUUGGCCGGGAAUCAGCCUUGCUUUUGCUUGGUGUACUUUCUGGUUGACGGGCCAGCAUCAGUUUUGACCGGUGGAAAAAGUUCAGGGGAAUGUGGCAUCUUCGGAUGUGUUAUAGCCCUUGWUCGUAUACAUCGGUUGGGACUGAGGAACUCAGCACGCCGCAAGGCCGGGUCUUUGACCACGUUCGUGCUUAGGAUGCUGGCAUAAUGGCUUUAAUCGACCCGUCUUGAAACACGGACCAAGGAGUCUAACAUGCCUGCGAGUGUUUGGGUGGAAAACCCGAGCGCGUAAUGAAAGUGAAAGUUGAGAUCCCUGUCAUGGGGAGCAUCGACGCCCGGACCUGACGUUUUCUGACGGCCCUGCGGUAGAGCAUGUAUGUUGGGACCCGAAAGAUGGUGAACUAUGCCUGAAUAGGGUGAAGCCAGAGGAAACUCUGGUGGAGGCUCGUAGCGAUUCUGACGUGCAAAUCGAUCGUCAAAUUUGGGUAUAGGGGCGAAA